RNAcentral lists this ribosomal RNA (413 nucleotides) under uncultured bacterium. RNAcentral describes it as "partial 16S ribosomal RNA". It matches the Rfam family "Bacterial small subunit ribosomal RNA", at positions 360 to 774 of the family's 1533-position model. The record is from RNAcentral.
AAUAUUGCGCAAUGGAGGGAACUCUGACGCAGCGACGCCGCGUGAGCGAUGAAGGUCUUCGGAUCGUAAAGCUCUGUCCUUGGGGAAGAAGGGAGCCGUAAGGCUUCUUGACGGUACCCAUGGAGGAAGCCCCGGCUAACUACGUGCCAGCAGCCGCGGUAAUACGUAGGGGGCAAGCGUUGUCCGGAAUUAUUGGGCGUAAAGGGUGCGUAGGCGGCCCUUUAAGUCAGAUGUGAAAGCCCACGGCUUAACCGUGGGACUGCAUUUGAAACUGGAGGGCUUGAGUGUCGGAGAGGGCAGUGGAAUUCCCAGUGUAGCGGUGGAAUGCGUAGAUAUAGGAAGGAACACCAGUGGCGAAGGCGACUACCUGGACUGAUACUGACGCUCAUGCACGAAAGCGUGGGGAGCAAACA